UAAACUACUGAUAGACAGAAUAAACCUUUUC
Molecule: non-coding RNA, 31 nt
Filed under: Mus musculus (house mouse)
Lineage: Eukaryota; Metazoa; Chordata; Mammalia; Rodentia; Muridae
Source: RNAcentral